This 362-nucleotide unclassified non-coding RNA is filed under the name Hevea brasiliensis (rubber tree). The record is from RNAcentral. Lineage: Eukaryota; Viridiplantae; Streptophyta; Magnoliopsida; Malpighiales; Euphorbiaceae.
CAAUUGAUUUGAAAUUCAAGGAUGAUUGCAUAUGUCUCUAAGUAGCAAUAUUAUUAUGGCAUGAUGAAAGAGGAUGUGUUAUAGUUUUUCCUUUUAAUUGCUUCAUGAUUGAAGUAUUGGAUUGUGGUGCUUGGUUUGAUUUGGUUAAUCCUAUAUGUAUUCAUUUUAACAACAUUUUUUUAGGGGGUUGGCUUUUAGGGUGUCUCUGUUGUUGACCUCAAUUUGGUUAUUGAGGUACACUAUUGAUUUUUUUUUAAUUCUUUUUUUAUGGAUGAUGAUUUAAGCGCUAAUUUAUUGUUUGGAUAUAUUUACCUGUGUGAAUGACAUUUUCUGGGUUCAGGAUCUCCACAGGUAAUUUCCAU